GUUGUGACUGGUUUUACGCGGCUGGGCCGCCCCCGGAACUAGCCUUGCGGUGGAGGGUUCGGGAGUUCCCGGAGGCACCGUCCCGGGUCCUGGCGUGGCGGGCAAGGCAGCCUGACCUCCGUCUGCUGGGCUCCCUGCGCUCGUGGCCGCGGUUUUGAAACAUGAAUCCAGGAGGAGCUUCAUCUGCUCCAAAACAUGAUGCAAGUUUAGAUGCAGAAUGGCAACAGUGGAAGGCAACACACGGAAAAGUAUAUGGUCCGAAUGAAGAAGGAUGGAGGAGAACACUGUGGGAGAAGAAUAAGAAAAUGAUUGACCUGCACAAUGAGGAAUACAACCUAGGGAAAAAGAGCUACAGCUUGGGAUUGAAUGCUUUUAGUGACAUGACCGAGGAAGAAUUAGCACGGACGUGCUGCGGUAAAAGGUAGAAGUGCAAGAAAAGGAGAGUGUUCCGGAAACCUUACGUUGCCGAAAUCCCCCCAAGAGUGGAUUGAUGAAAAGAAGGCUAUGUGGACAUGGAUAACGGGAUGAGAGCAUGAGGGGGCGGGGGGGUUUGCGGGGGGAGGAGAAG
Molecule: long non-coding RNA, 568 nt
Organism: Myotis davidii
Lineage: Eukaryota; Metazoa; Chordata; Mammalia; Chiroptera; Vespertilionidae
Exons: 4
Source: RefSeq, a predicted model, not a curated record